Molecule: long non-coding RNA, 259 nt
Filed under: Elaeis guineensis (African oil palm)
Lineage: Eukaryota; Viridiplantae; Streptophyta; Magnoliopsida; Arecales; Arecaceae
Description: long non-coding RNA (EGUI_LNC055267)
Source: RNAcentral
CUUUUCCUCUAUUUUCUAUUAUUUUCUUUGAUUUUCUCGACACUGAUCACUGCCAACAACUAUCAGUUGAGAAACCCUCGGCUAUAUCGUUGUAGCCACACCACGUGCCAUAGCCAUUGCCAAUGAGAGACUCCCUUAUUUUGGGGGGAAGGGGUAAUUAAGGAUUCUCCUAUUUGCCACAGAACCAAAGGAAGAAGAGACAAAAAAAGAAAGGAAAAUGAAAAAAGAAAGGGAGGAAAAGACAAAAAAGACUAAAGUG